RNAcentral lists this ribosomal RNA (480 nucleotides) under uncultured bacterium. Its description in RNAcentral is "bacterial SSU rRNA". It matches the Rfam family "Bacterial small subunit ribosomal RNA", at positions 32 to 488 of the family's 1533-position model. The record is from RNAcentral.
CAACGCUGGCGGCGUGGAUNAGACAUGCAAGUCGAGCGAGAUUUUUUCCUGUUAGCAAUACAGGGAAAAGUCUAGCGGCGAACGGGUGCUUAACACGUGGGCAAUCUGCCGAGAAGUGGGGGAUAGCUCGCCGAAAGGCGAAUUAAUACCGCAUGUGAUUAGAGUGGACAUCCAUUCAAAAUCAAAGUCGGGGCAACCUGACGCUUCUUGAGGAGCCCGCGGCCUAUCAGCUAGUUGGUGAGGUAACGGCCCACCAAGGCUUUGACGGGUAGCUGGUCUGAGAGGACGACCAGCCACACUGGGACUGAGACACGGCCCAGACACCUACGGGUGGCAGCAGUCGAGAAUUUUUCUCAAUGGGGGAAACCCUGAAGGAGCGACGCCGCGUGGAGGAUGAAGGUCUUCGGGUUGUAAACUCCUGUCAUUUGGGAACAAUGCGCAAAUAUUAACUGUAUUUGCGUUGAUAGUACCAGAAGAGGA